CCUACGGGAGGCAGCAGUGGGGAAUCUUGCGCAAUGGGCGAAAGCCUGACGCAGCAACGCCGCGUGCGGGAAGAAGGCUUUCGGGCUGUAAACCGCUUUCAGCAGGAACGAAAAUGACGGUACCUGCAGAAGAAGGAGCGGCCAACUAUGUGCCAGCAGCCGCGGUGAUACAUAGGCUUCAAGCGUUGUCCGGAUUUAUUGGGCGUAAAGAGUUCGUAGGCGGUCGAGUAGGUCGGGUGUGAAAAUUCUGGGCUCAACCCAGAGACGCCACCCGAUACUGCUUGACUUGAGUUCGAUAGGGGAGUGGGGAAUUCCUAGUGUAGCGGUGAAAUGCGCAGAUAUUAGGAGGAACACCGGUGGCGAAGGCGCCACUCUGGAUCGAUACUGACGCUGAGGAACGAAAGCAUGGGUAGCAAACAGGAUUAGAUACCCUGGUAGUCCAUGCCGUAAACGGUGGGCACUAGGUGUGGGUUUCUAUUAACGAAAUCCGCGCCGUCGCUAACGCAUUAAGUGCCCCGCCUGGGGAGUACGGUCGCAAGCUAAACCUUAAGGAAUUGACGGCUGAGAGNGCGAGCGACACGAGGAGAG
RNAcentral lists this ribosomal RNA (588 nucleotides) under uncultured bacterium. RNAcentral describes it as "bacterial SSU rRNA". It matches the Rfam family "Bacterial small subunit ribosomal RNA", at positions 338 to 943 of the family's 1533-position model. The record is from RNAcentral.